RNAcentral lists this ribosomal RNA (253 nucleotides) under uncultured bacterium. RNAcentral describes it as "partial 16S ribosomal RNA". It matches the Rfam family "Bacterial small subunit ribosomal RNA", at positions 524 to 776 of the family's 1533-position model. The record is from RNAcentral.
UACAGAGGAUGCAAGCGUUAUCCGGAAUGAUUGGGCGUAAAGCGUCUGUAGGUGGCUUUUUAAGUCCGCCGUCAAAUCCCAGGGCUCAACUCUGGACAGGCGGUGGAAACUACCAAGCUGGAGUACGGUAGGGGCAGAGGGAAUUUCCGGUGGAGCGGUGAAAUGCGUAGAGAUCGGAAAGAACACCGGUGGCGAAGGCGGCCUGCUGGGCAGUAGCUGACGCUGAGGCGCGACAGCGUGGGGAGCAAACAGG